This is a non-coding RNA of Oryza barthii, 205 nucleotides long. The record is from Rfam. Lineage: Eukaryota; Viridiplantae; Streptophyta; Magnoliopsida; Poales; Poaceae.
AAAAAGACAAAUCCUGGUUUCCGUGUCUAACGUUUGACCGUCCGUCUUAUUUGAAAAAAAUAUGAAAAAAAUUAAAAAAACAAGUCACGCAUAAAAUAUUAAUCAUAUUUUAUCAUCUAACAACAAUAAAAAUACGAAUUAUAAAAAAAUUUCAUAUAAGACGGACAGUUAAAAUUGGACAUGUAAACCUAGGGUUUGUCUUUUU